CAACCUCUCCAUUGACCAGGUUGGCGUGCCCCGCUCCAUUGCUGCCAACAUGACCUUUGCGGAGAUUGUCACCCCCUUCAACAUUGACAGACUUCAAGAACUGGUGCGCAGGGGGAACAGCCAGUACCCAGGCGCCAAGUACAUCAUCCGAGACAAUGGUGAUCGCAUUGACUUGCGUUUCCACCCCAAGCCCAGUGACCUUCACUUGCAGACCGGCUAUAAGGCAUGUAGCAGGCCAGGGCCUCUCUCAGCCACCUGAGCAGAAAGCUUUCCAAGAUAGGGCAGGCUGGGAUAGGCCAUCUGUGUCUGUCUCGUUCACUGGGAUCCAGACUUGACUGUCUUGUUAAAGGCUAUUGCUGCCCAGGUGUGCAGGGAGCUGCUGGCCUCUGGCAUUCAGGGUGGGGGUGCUAUAAACCCGGGGCAGCUUGCAUAUGGCAGGGAAGAGGGAUCUGUGGAGGAACAGUGCAGAAGGCUUGAUGGUCAGAAUCUCUCUUGCUUUUCUUCCUAGACUGAGUUCCUCGAGAUUGGGGAU
RNAcentral lists this small RNA (532 nucleotides) under Pongo abelii (Sumatran orangutan). Its description in RNAcentral is "retained intron". The record is from RNAcentral. Lineage: Eukaryota; Metazoa; Chordata; Mammalia; Primates; Hominidae.